GGGUCAAAUCAAAUCAAAUUUGGACUGAACCAAAAUAGGAAACUCUAGAGUCCCAACUUACUAGGUCUCUCUCCCCUUGCGCAUGCCCUAGUGUCCAUGCUAAAGCAUCUCAUGCAAAAGAGUUUUGUCAUGAAUUAUUUUUGCAUGAAAAAGAGGGUGGACACAGAAGAAAGUUAGGCAGCAUCUCUUGAUGAGUCACCCAUCU
Molecule: long non-coding RNA, 205 nt
Filed under: Elaeis guineensis (African oil palm)
Lineage: Eukaryota; Viridiplantae; Streptophyta; Magnoliopsida; Arecales; Arecaceae
Description: long non-coding RNA (EGUI_LNC050262)
Source: RNAcentral